CAUUAGGCUGUCGUUAUGAUUGGCACUCCGAGCAGCGGAGAUUUACAUACAUUGGCCUUCGUGAUGCCGUAUGAUGGCACUGUACUCGUUCUGAACAUUUUCAGAAUAAAACGCCGUUUUUUAUUCCUUUGUGUAUUCAUGCAAUUGAAAUUCAUUCGUUUCCUAAGUCAGUCGUUUUUUGCAAAACAAAAUCAGAAUGAUGAUAAUUACCAUAAUUUAUUAAUUAAUUUGAACCACCCUAAGUUUCGGUUUGGUUUUUCGACUAUAUAUUACAUAUGUUGAGGAUAAGAUUUUCUCCAUAUUUAUCUACCAGUAGCCUCGAGGGACUAUUCUGGUUUCACUAUAAGUGGUCGGUGAAUUCACGGGGCUCAUCCUGAGUUCAAGGAAGAAAAUAGUAUCAUUUAUUUAUUACUGUUCAAUGGCGUGAUAUGUUGUUGUUCAAUAAGAUGAUUGGAUUGAAAUGUGGUUUUAUAACUACGAGACACAAAUCGUCGAAGACCUCAUUUAUGCCAUUUGAAUCAUAGCUUUGGAGCAAAAAUUGACUUGACGAUAACAUCUUUCGGUUUGAAAUCGCAAUAUACGCCCCAACGCCGCGACGUUCUAAUCUUUCAUUGUAGUCUUUCGUAAACAUAAGCGAGGUCCGUAUUUACUUUGGUUUUGUUAUAUAGUUUAAUACUUUGUUUUUUCCUUUAAUUUUGUCUUGAUACAACUAUGGUACAAGUACAUUGUAUAAUUACUAUGUGGUAGCAACGUCACGCAUUUGUAUUAAAAUUAUAAAUCUGUUACUUAUAUGUAAUAAUAUAUCUAUUUGUAAUAA
Bombyx mori (domestic silkworm) is the source of this 817-nucleotide long non-coding RNA. RefSeq lists it as uncharacterized. The transcript has 2 exons. Lineage: Eukaryota; Metazoa; Arthropoda; Insecta; Lepidoptera; Bombycidae. The record is from RefSeq and is a predicted model, not a curated record.